CUGGCUGUAGCUGUUAUGGAAUGGGGACCCGAAAACAGAGUAAUGGGUGACAAGGUGUUUUAUUAACAGCAGUGGCACACAAACAGACAUCAGGGUGAACAUUAUGGAGAGGAAGACACUGGAAACAAGACACUGGAGAAGAUCGAAGAUUUUACCAAGUUAAAACUGUUUUUUUGCAAUGGUCUGCACAGAAACAGCAGACAGGCUGAAGGAAAAUUUGCUCUCUGAUGCUUAUGGAACAGCCGAAAUGCAGCGGUUCCCCCUGUACACAAAGCAGCACUGCGCAACUUACUGUGUCUGACACCCGCUUGUCAAGAGAGAGUAAUUCGCAACAUUGCCUGUGAGGAUGGGGAGGUGCUCUGACACCAAGAGGAGAGAGCAAGUGUUUCUAAUGGACCCCACAUCUCUCUGAAUGUCUGCAACAAGCCCCCUGGCACUGCCAAAUAGACUCUGAACUCCCAGAGAAGAAAAUAAAUGUCACAAAAAUGUUUCUGAGCUGUUCAUGUUGAGGGCUCUCUAGGUGACUGUUUUCUUCCAGUGUUGUUCAAAAACAUUCAACUCUGAAUUGCCCUUUUAUGAUUCUUUACUAGGCUAGUUGUUUUAUCUGAAUAACAUAUCUGUCUGUAAUGCACAUUAAAUUAUGAAGCUGUGUGUAAUAGAAGGUGUGUAGAUUUUCUUAUAUAUUUUUUAACUGUGACAAUGUAACAUGUUUGUAUGGCUUUUUUAUUAUUAUUUUGAAUACUGUAGAGGAAAAUAUGAAUAAAUAUACUUAAUUUCAAUAGUCCA
This is a long non-coding RNA of Ctenopharyngodon idella (grass carp), 786 nucleotides long. RefSeq lists it as uncharacterized. Lineage: Eukaryota; Metazoa; Chordata; Actinopteri; Cypriniformes; Xenocyprididae. The record is from RefSeq and is a predicted model, not a curated record. The transcript is spliced from 3 exons.